GCUUGUCUCAAAGAUUAAGCCAUGCAUGUUCAAGUAUAGCAAGUGUACAGUGAAACUGCGAAUGGCUCAUUAAAUCAGUUAUCAAAUACGUGAUGGUCGCCUACUACAUGGAUAACCGUAGUAAUUCUAGAGCUAAUACAUGCAUCAACCCCCGACUUUUGAAGGGGUGUAUUUAUUAGAUUGAAACCAAUGCGGGUUCGCCCGGUAUUUGGUGAUUCAUAAUAACUUUCGGAUCGACUUCGGUCGAUGCAUCAUUCAAGUUUCUGCCCUAUCAGCUUUGGAUGGUAGGGUAUUGGCCUACCAUGGCUUUAACGGGUAACGGAGAAUUAGGGUUCGAUUCCGGAGAGGGAGCCUGAGAAAUGGCUACCACAUCCAAGGAAGGCAGCAGG
RNAcentral lists this ribosomal RNA (389 nucleotides) under uncultured Chrysophyceae. RNAcentral's name for it is "partial small subunit ribosomal RNA". It matches the Rfam family "Eukaryotic small subunit ribosomal RNA", at positions 30 to 432 of the family's 1831-position model. The record is from RNAcentral. Lineage: Eukaryota; Chrysophyceae.